CCGCGCCGCGUCGCCUGCUCCGUCGCCUCUGCCACCGACUUGUUGGAGAGAGAGAAUAAGAGAGAUGGAGGGGAAGAGAUGGAGAAAGAGGAAGAGAAAAAACAUAGAAGAGGAUGACAUGCGGGCCCCGGCUGUCAUAGAUUUAAAAUGAGACGGUGGAUGGAGAAACCGUUGGAGUAAAAAACGAAUUUGAGAACUAAAUAAAAUAGGGAGUGGCUAAAUAGAUAUUUGGAGAGUCUACUUUGGGUUGUCUGUUGGAGAUGCUCUAACUAAGUAAAAGCGAA
Molecule: long non-coding RNA, 284 nt
Filed under: Oryza brachyantha (malo sina)
Lineage: Eukaryota; Viridiplantae; Streptophyta; Magnoliopsida; Poales; Poaceae
Description: long non-coding RNA (OBRA_LNC000829)
Source: RNAcentral